UUUUAGAUUGUUUUUAAGUCUUACAUCACCUAAAAGGCUAAAACCCUUUUCACACAGCCACCAUCGACUGCAUCGACACUAUUCCUCCGGCGAAGGCAAUGCGACCUCUGGCGUAGGUUUCCCCUCCGCAUCUUCCUCUAUUCUCUGUUCUUGCUAGCUUGAGAAUUUUGGAGUUUGAACAUAAGAAGGAAGUGAAAAUGAAGGGGGAAAGUGAAUAUCAGUCAAAAGAAGAUAAUAUUUGGGAACACCCUGGGAAGAGGAUAUUUUAGCAGCUUCUCUCAAAGAGUUUAAUCUUACAACUGAAGGUAAAUCAAAUGAAUAAUGGGAAGACGAAAGAAGUAAAGAUAAUAUUUGGCUGGCCGGUGCUACACUCUUACAUGUUCUAGGAAUCCACUACAAAAAAUUUGGUAAAUUGUGACGGUUUAUUUAUGGGGUCAUAAAAAACUUCACUAUACGUUUGUUUUAUGACGUUUGAGCCAACCCCCACAAAAUAGUUCUUAUUGUGGCGGUUUAAGUGUGGGAGUCGUAAAAGACCCCUAUUGUAUAUUCAAUUCGUGGCGUUUGUUCCCACCUCCUUAAAAUUUUUCUUAUUAUGGCGGUUUCUUUGUGAAGGUUUUUGAUAACCUCCACAAAUAUAUCAAUUCUAGGUAUUUGAGAAAUUGUUGUAAUUCGAUGCAAGUUAACGAUUAUUAACUCGUUAAAAUUUUAUUUA
Molecule: long non-coding RNA, 712 nt
Organism: Nicotiana tabacum (common tobacco)
Lineage: Eukaryota; Viridiplantae; Streptophyta; Magnoliopsida; Solanales; Solanaceae
Source: RefSeq, a predicted model, not a curated record